GGGCUCGUAGCUCAGCUGGUUAGAGCGCACGCUUGAUAAGCGUGAGGUCGGAGGUUCAAAUCCUCCCGGGCCCACCA
This 77-nucleotide transfer RNA is filed under the name Elusimicrobiota bacterium. RNAcentral describes it as "Elusimicrobia bacterium tRNA-Ile". It matches the Rfam family "tRNA". From Rfam's summary of the family: Transfer RNA (tRNA) molecules are approximately 80 nucleotides in length. Their secondary structure includes four short double-helical elements and three loops (D, anti-codon, and T loops). Lineage: Bacteria; Pseudomonadati; Elusimicrobiota. The record is from RNAcentral.